GAAUCUGGGAGGACCAUCUCCUAAGGCUAAAUACUCUCUAGUGACCGAUAGUGAACCAGUACCGUGAGGGAAAGGUGAAAAGCACCCCGGAAGGGGAGUGAAAUAGAACCUGAAACCGUGUGCUUACAAGUAGUCAGAGCCCGUUAAUGGGUGAUGGCGUGCCUUUUGUAGAAUGAACCGGCGAGUUACGAUUUGAUGCAAGGUUAAGCAGUAAAUGUGGAGCCGUAGCGAAAGCGAGUCUGAAUAGGGCGUUUAGUAUUUGGUCGUAGACCCGAAACCAGGUGAUCUACCCUUGGUCAGGUUGAAGUUCAGGUAACACUGAAUGGAGGACCGAACCGACUUACGUUGAAAAGUGAGCGGAUGAACUGAGGGUAGCGGAGAAAUUCCAAUCGAACCUGGAGAUAGCUGGUUCUCUCCGAAAUAGCUUUAGGGCUAGCCUCAAGUGAUGAUUAUUGGAGGUAGAGCACUGUUUGGACGAGGGGCCCCUCUCGGGUUACCGAAUUCAGACAAACUCCGAAUGCCAAUUAAUUUAACUUGGGAGUCAGAACAUGGGUGAUAAGGUCCGUGUUCGAAAGGGAAACAGCCCAGACCACCAGCUAAGGUCCCAAAAUAUAUGUUAAGUGGAAAAGGAUGUGGCGUUGCCCAGACAACUAGGAUGUUGGCUUAGAAGCAGCCAUCAUUUAAAGAGUGCGUAAUAGCUCACUAGUCGAGUGACACUGCGCCGAAAAUGUACCGGGGCUAAACAUAUUACCGAAGCUGUGGAUUGUCCUUUGGACAAUGGUAGGAGAGCGUUCUAAGGGCGUUGAAGCAUGAUCGUAAGGACAUGUGGAGCGCUUAGAAGUGAGAAUGCCGGUGUGAGUAGCGAAAGACGGGUGAGAAUCCCGUCCACCGAUUGACUAAGGUUUCCAGAGGAAGGCUCGUCCGCUCUGGGUUAGUCGGGUCCUAAGCUGAGGCCGACAGGCGUAGGCGAUGGAUAACAGGUUGAUAUUCCUGUACCACCUAUAAU
RNAcentral lists this ribosomal RNA (1006 nucleotides) under Staphylococcus aureus. RNAcentral's name for it is "partial 23S ribosomal RNA". It matches the Rfam family "Bacterial large subunit ribosomal RNA", at positions 440 to 1454 of the family's 2925-position model. Lineage: Bacteria; Bacillati; Bacillota; Bacilli; Caryophanales; Staphylococcaceae. The record is from RNAcentral.